Molecule: ribosomal RNA, 407 nt
Filed under: uncultured bacterium
Lineage: Bacteria
Description: partial 16S ribosomal RNA
Rfam family: Bacterial small subunit ribosomal RNA
Source: RNAcentral
GACGAACGCUGGCGGCGUGCCUAAUACAUGCAAGUAGGACGCAGUUGCGAACGGGCGAGUAACGCGUAGGUAACUACCUAGAAGGGGGGGAUAAAUAAUGGAAACGAUAGCUAAUACCGCAUACUAGGAGCUGGACAUGCGUUGUAUUAGCUAGUAGGUAGGGGAAUGGCCUACCUAGGCAACGAUACAUAGCCGACUCGUGAUGUGUAUCCGACACACUGUGACUCAGACACGGCCCAGAGUCCUACGGUAGCCAUCAGUAUGGAAUCGUUCGCAAUGUGGGGAACCCUGACCGAGCAACGCCGCGUGAGUGAAGAAGGUUUUCGGAUCGUAAAGCUCUGUUGUUAAGGAAGCGGUACUUAACCAGAAAGGGACGGCUAACUACGUGCCAGCAGCCGCGGUAAUAC